CGGAGGAGUCGAGGGCGUACGAGACUCCCACGCGCGGAAGCAUCCCGUCGUCCGCCCCCAGCGUCUGCCGCCAUCGCCCCUAGCUCGCGGGCUCGCCGCUGGCCUCCGGCGAUCGUCGUGGUCCCUCGCCGCCGCACGCCCUCGCUGCCUCGCCGGUCGCUAGCUUGUCCUCCACGGCUCCACCGUUCGCCGCACAGCCAAAGCCUGCCCUCAAUCCCCAAUUCCCACCACGCCGUAGUGCGGCUCUGCAUCGUCAGGCAAUCCCCAAUUGACGAGUUAUAUGUACCCAGAAGAUCUAUCUUGAGACGGUCACUUGCACCAAACCAGGGCAUGCAUUGAACGGAACAGGAGAAAUGGUCACAGUCUCUAUCACGUAUCGUAUGACAUCUUUGCCUGCUCCCCUGCUCGACUAAUUGUACAUGCAUGAGCUACUCUAAUUAAUUCUGCAUGGUAAGUUGUUUUCUCAUUCAAGAGGUUUCCAUGAAACCGGCCAUACAUUGACCGGUCGUCGACAUCACGGGAUGGCAGGUAAAUCUUAUUUCAUUUGUUUAAUUAGUUGUUGAACAAGUUACCGUGCAUUUCCACCCUAUACUUUGGUCAAACCAGAAGAACUUGUUGCACACUAAGUCGUCGAAUGCUUUGCUUGUGAGUUAGACAACUAAUUAAUUAAAUUUUUACUAGCUAGAAUGGUUCAGAGAAAAGCCAAGUCAUGUAGCGUUUGUUCCUCGAGGUUCAUCGACCUCGACAAGCUAGCUAAGAUCGCUCGAUCAUCUCAUGCAGAGACGAUGGAUUUGUGUGUCAGGCCGGGGUGGAGCACAUGAUAGGUUGGGGUCAAAUAUGAAAUCAAUGGAUUUUUCACUAUUAUAGAGGAAUUUAGUACAUAACAAUGAUGAGCCUUGAGCCUUCGCAACAAAAAAAAAAGAAAAAGAAAAAAAGAGAGGAGCCCAGACGAGCUUGAGGUGGGGAAGGGGUAAGGGGCCACAAAAUGAGAAGAGAAGACUUCUUUUGUUCCUCUUUCUUUUACAAAAGCACACACACACGUGUUAGAGCUGAUGUAGCGUAGACAGGCGGUUGACACAAUUAGUGUACUUUUUUUACUCAAGUUUAUAUUGUCAUAGUAUUGGAACUAAUUUGAUACCCUGCAAGCCAAGGGAUAGUUUAGUCUGGUGACGGUAACACCUUGGGUAGUUGGGUGCGGCUCUCCUCCAUGGAGACAUCAUCGAGGUCCUUGUUCCCCUCUCUUGUGGGAACUUGAUGGCCGGUCGGAGCUCAGUGACAUGUCAGGAUAUCAUGUACUGCAGCAGAGAACUUCAGGUCACUGUCGUUCGAUCUACGGCGAGGUGGAGCAGCGUUUCUGCCAGAAGCUGAGGUCAUCAGCGUUUGAGUUGUGCUCACGUUUAAUUUUUUCUUUUGUUUGCUUCAUCUUGUUCAUUUUUCCUUGUAAUCUGGUCAGCACCUUGUAUAUAUAGUUUGGUUGUGUAGGAUUUCAUUAAUUUAAAACCAGGCGUAAUGCCGUUCUUUAAGAUGAUACAACAACACAGUACCUAUUCAAGACAGCCAAGGUUCUCUAGGUGCACUGGCCCUAUUUGAGACUCAUGUGAUCUAAUAUACUUAGUCAUUAUAUUGAGCCUUU
This is a long non-coding RNA of Brachypodium distachyon (stiff brome), 1633 nucleotides long. RefSeq lists it as uncharacterized. The record is from RefSeq and is a predicted model, not a curated record. The transcript has 4 exons. NCBI's taxonomy places the organism in Eukaryota, Viridiplantae, Streptophyta, Magnoliopsida, Poales, Poaceae.